This 2074-nucleotide long non-coding RNA is filed under the name Anas platyrhynchos (mallard). RNAcentral describes it as "lncRNA (ENSAPLG00020011135.1)". The record is from RNAcentral. Lineage: Eukaryota; Metazoa; Chordata; Aves; Anseriformes; Anatidae.
UUGUAUUAUUGUUUUAGGUGUAUUUGUCAAAUGCAGAGGUUUUGAUCCUUCAGUACUUUAACAGGGCUCCAGACACUAAGUCUUUUCACCGUAAAGAAAAAAGAUGUUUGCUUUUGACAAUAUUGUAGUACUUUAAUAUAUGUCUCCUGAGUUCAACCUCUUUUACGAGAAAGGUAAGGAUGAGAUUUUUUAUAUAUAGAAAUUUUUAACAAAUCAAUAAAUAAUACAGGUUCUUCAAAAUACCAUUUGGAGUUCUUUAUGUACUUGGUAAAAAGCGAGAAGACUGAGAUCACGUGCUUUUCAGAGCAGAGGUCAGCCAACCAGGAAUACCUUGGGCAGUUCUCAGUGUGAUUUCAGUGCUGCCUGAAAGAUGCAUUUUACAGAUUAACUUCUCUUCUAUGCACAGCUCUUCUCGGUCUUCAGAACUUGUACUUCUCUAUUGUUUUUAAUUAUGCAGUGAUUGACAGUUAGUUAAUCUUCUAUUGGGAUUCAGAGCCCAUCUGGACAGGGAGUUCUUUUUUCUUCUUUUUUCUUCUUUUUUCUUCUUUUUUCUUCUUUUUUCUUCUUUUUUCUUCUUUUUUCUUCUUUUUUCUUCUUUUUUCUUCUUUUUUCUUCUUUUUUCUUCUUUUUUCUUCUUUUUUCUUCUUUUUUCUUCUUUUUUCUUCUUUUUUCUUCUUUUUUCUUCUUUUUUCUUCUUUUUUCUUCUUUUUUCUUCUUUUUUCUUCUUUUUUCUUCUUUUUUCUUCUUUUUUCUUCUAUGAAAGUAAAGUUAAAAUGUGUAUUGAAAGGAGUCUUCUUUGGGUAGAAGAGUGUCAGACAGAUCAACUAAAAUUACUUCCAAACUUUUCUUAUGAUUGUAUCUUACUGGUUGCGUUUCUUAUAUAAAUAUGUAUAUUUUUCAAAUAUUAGAGAAACUAUGUAGCAUACAACAAAGUAAUAAAGAUCCUGCAUCUUUUGCAGCUUAUUUAAACUGUCUGAUUGUAUGUAUAAAGAUACAAAAUUUAAAGAUAGUUCAGUGGAUAUGAAACAAGUUGAUACUUACCUUAAUACAAGUGAAAACAUGACAGAAGCGAGAAAAGAUGUGUGGAGAAUAAAUCAUCAUACUCCAAUAACUACAGACUCAGAUUUUACCCUACAUAGGGUAAAUGAUGGGAACAUUGCAUCUAAAAUAGGAUUUCAAAUAAAAUCACUUCCUAGUGCUUCAAGGAUUCUGGAUAAGACAGGAACAACAGGAAGAAAUUUGGAAAUGUUGAGGGCUGUUACAGAAAUACGUAUCCUUUUAUUUGCUGUAUCUGAUUUAUUGAAUUUAUUACCAUGACUCUUACAUUUACAAAAUUAUAGUGGUUAGUUUGUAGCCAUAAGAACUCAUGCAUUAUACUGUAAUAGUUUUGAAUUGUAACGUAAUGCUGGGAGUUGAAUGGGAAUUUAUGCCUGGGACCUCCAAAGCUAGAAUGAAAAUAGAAUAACUUAUAAAUAGAUCAUUCAUCACCAAGCAAACUUAUUCUUAUUUCAAACAUGUACAUUUUAUCCUCAAAAUUACUUAUUUUUAAAAUGUAAAAUUUAAAAUUUUUAGUUUGGUAAGAAUUGACAUAAUUUCCAGAACAAGUAAGAACUCAGUUGUUCUGAUGUUGCCAAUUGCAGAUAAAGCUCCUCGUUUUGAAAAUGGGUCAUUUAUUUAGAGGGAUAAUUUUAGAGAAGCCUUUUUAAAAAAUCCUUGCUCACCUUUACUUUUUUUCUGGUUUUAUUUCAUUAUUUUCUUGUAUUACUCUUUUUUUUUUUUUUUUUUGAGUCAUUUAAAAUGAAUAGAACAACUUUUUAAGGCCUCAGCUGUUCAUUGUUUUUGUGACUGUUGGUGUUACAUCCGACUGUGUUUGCAUCCAUAGACUGAUUGGAUGGUUGCGAUUAGUCUGCUUGUGUGGCUUCCGUGCAAGUCCAGACAAGGAUCAUCUCAUUUGUUUGGAUCGUAAGGAAACAAUGCUCUCUUUACUCUUACUUGUAUUUUAGAUAAAAAUGCUUUUGUCUGGAAAAUAUGGAAAAUACACAAUAUUUGCAGUUGAAAAUACCUUUAAUAGCAC